This 433-nucleotide ribosomal RNA is filed under the name uncultured bacterium. Its description in RNAcentral is "partial 16S ribosomal RNA". It matches the Rfam family "Bacterial small subunit ribosomal RNA", at positions 29 to 507 of the family's 1533-position model. The record is from RNAcentral.
AACGAACGCUGGCGGCAUGCCUAACACAUGCAAGUCGAACGAGACCUUCGGGUCUAGUGGCGCACGGGUGCGUAACGCGUGGGAACCUGCCCUUAGGUUCGGAAUAACUCCCCGAAAGGGGUGCUAAUACCGGAUAAUGUCUUCGGACCAAAGAUUUAUCGCCUUUGGAUGGGCCCGCGUUGGAUUAGCUAGUUGGUAGGGUAAAAGCCUACCAAGGCGAUGAUCCAUAGCUGGUCUGAGAGGAUGAUCAGCCACACUGGGACUGAGACACGGCCCAGACUCCUACGGGAGGCAGCAGUGGGGAAUAUUGGACAAUGGGCGAAAGCCUGAUCCAGCAAUGCCGCGUGAGUGAUGAAGGCCUUAGGGUUGUAAAGCUCUUUUACCCGGGAUGAUAAUGACAGUACCGGGAGAAUAAGCACCGGCUAACUCCGUG